GAGAAAGGAACGAAGAGCGAACGGAGGAUGCCUAGGCUAUCCGGAGGCGAUGAAAGACGUGGUAAGCUGCGAAAAGCCGCGGGGAUCUGCAAACAGGAAUUGAUCCGCGGAUGUCUGAAUGGGGCAACCCAGUAGGUUGAAGACCUACUACUCCCGUGAGGGAGGGCGAACCCGGGGAACUGAAACAUCUUAGUACCCGGAGGAAAAGAAAGAAAAGUCGAUACCCUGAGUAGUGGCGAGCGAAAGGGGCGGAGCCUAAACCGGCGUGUUUACGGACAUGCCGGGGUUGUAGGACCAUCAACAAAGAUACUUCAGGAAACCAGAACGCGUUGGAAAGCGUGGCCGUAGAGGGUGACAGUCCCGUACGGGUAACCGUGAAGUAUCGAAGAUGGCACCUGAGUAGGGCGGGGCACGUGGAAUCCUGUCCGAAUCUGCGGGGACCAUCCCGCAAGGCUAAACACUCCCGGAAGACCGAUAGUG
Molecule: ribosomal RNA, 480 nt
Filed under: Bacteroidales bacterium
Lineage: Bacteria; Pseudomonadati; Bacteroidota; Bacteroidia; Bacteroidales
Description: partial 23S ribosomal RNA
Rfam family: Bacterial large subunit ribosomal RNA
Source: RNAcentral